Non-coding RNA from Danio rerio (zebrafish), 492 nucleotides. Lineage: Eukaryota; Metazoa; Chordata; Actinopteri; Cypriniformes; Danionidae. The record is from RefSeq and is a predicted model, not a curated record.
AAAGGCUGCAAAUAAGAGACUGUAACAGUGAUAUAAAGCAGUGCCUUACUCUGAAUCGCGGGGACUUUUAUUAUGGCGCAUUGCCGUGCAUUGAUGUGGAGUGCUUCACAGUUCGGGGCACUUCCGAUUUCUCCGUGAAUCAGUCAUUACGUUCACUCAACGAGGAGAGAAACGAGCCGAGCGAAGUCUGGAGACUCACGGCUGUAUAUGAUUGCUGUUUGUUCCUGUUAGUUUAUAAAACUGUGUGCGUCCAGAGGAAAAACCACACACACACACAAACACCACACACGGCUCUACAAGUUCAUACACGCAUAAAUGCAAGCAAAGUUGGAUCUAUGCCGUCUUUAAGGAACAUUUAAGCACAAGGCAAUACAAUCAUCAUCCUCCAGUAUCCAUGCCCAUUCCAUGUAUGUGGUUAGAAGACGUUAACAUACAAGUUACAACUGGCUCCCCCUCUGCAUAUGACUGUAAUCAAUAAAUCAUUCAAGUAUA